Non-coding RNA from Biomphalaria pfeifferi, 231 nucleotides. Lineage: Eukaryota; Metazoa; Mollusca; Gastropoda; Planorbidae. The record is from the annotation of a GenBank genome assembly.
CAGUAAAAACGCAGAGAUUUUAUAAGUAAGUCAUUCUAAUUCAAAGUCAUUUCUUCAUUGUAUUCUUUUAUUUAUAUAAGGUUUCUCUUCAUACAGAAUAGUAGAAUUGUGAAUCGUAGAACGAAUUUAGGUUUGUAUUGAUGUUGUAUAGAUUUAGAUCUAAAACUUGGCAAAUCUUUAUUUUUUUUACGAUAACAAAAUCUAAAGUGCAGAUGAUGUUUAAAAGGCCAU